CAAAAAGACAAAAAAAAAAAAAAAAAAAAAAAAAAGAAAUAUACCUACAAAAGGCCCAGUAUGUCCUAUAAGCAGUGUUAUGUGGGUAAAUGUUUAAGAACUAGCACUCUGAAAAUAACCCAAUCACACAUAAGUCCUGCUUGUAUAAUUUGCUGAUUUAAAGCUACCAACUUAGUGUCAUUAAAUGUGGAAUUGGAAACAAGAAGAAGUUGAAACAAGAUGUAGUCCGUGGUUGGUUGAAUGCACAGAUGUGGAACCCAUGGACAUGAAGGGCCAGCUAAAGCAUUUUAUAUAAGGGACUUGAGAAUCCAUGGAUUUUGGUAUGAGGAGGAGGGUCCUUAAACCAAUCCCUCAGACAUGCUAAGGGACAAAUAUCCAGUUUUUGCAAAAAUAACUGUAUAGGCUAAUGGGAAGUUAUGUGCAUGAUAACAAAUAUUUUACCUUAAAUAUAACAAUUAAUUUUGUUUGUCUUUGUAGGGCCGUAUCUGCAGUAUAUGGAGGUUCCCAAGCUAGGGUUUGAGUCAGAGUUGUAGCCACCAGCCUACAUCACAGCCACAGCAAUACCAGAUUCAAACCACUUUGUGACUUACACCACAGCUUGUGGCAACGCCAGAUCCUUGACCCACUGAGUCAGGCCGGGGAUUGAAACCACAUUCUCAUAGAUACUGGUCAGGUUCUUAACCUGCUGAACCACAACGGGAAUUCCACAUUAAUUAUUUUCAAAGCAUGGAAGAUAAUAUCAGCUUUACCACUGAUUGCAGCAAUGCUGGAUCCUUUAACCCAUUGCCCCAGGCUGGGUAUUGAACCUUCGCCCCCAUAGCCACCUAAGCCACUGCAGUUGGAUUCUUAACCCACUGCACCACAGCAGGAACUCCUCAGUUUUAUGUUAGAGAAGAGAAAACAGAGCUGACAAAUGUGAAGAACUCAUCCAAUAUUAUGUGGCUGUUAAGAUUCAAAGCCUGAUUUAGAAGUUUCUGGACUAUUGCUCAAGUCAUUUUCAUUUACUUUUUGCUUGUGUUACUUAACAAGCUACAGGAUGCAUCCAGGGGGUGCUGUGUGUACAAUGCUGAGAGAAUGAUGCUAUGGAUAUAACAACAUGAUGAUUCUGAGGUAUUAGUUGGAGUAGUGCUCAUAUGUCCUUGUGUUAUACUCUUUAUCCCAUCCCCAAGUAUAGAUAGGUAGAACAUUGAUUGAUUCCACCCUCACUAGCAGUUGUUUCUGGCCACAAGGAGAGAUCAAAAAGCUCAAGGGAGAUAAUUCAGAGAGUGGAAGAAAACUAGUGAUGCACUAAAGUCACCUGGAAGGGCUCUAAACAUAAUGCCAAUAGUCUCAAAGUGUAGUCCUUGAGGCUAACAGCAUCAUUAUCUCCAGGGAACUUCGUGGAAAUCAAAUUCUUGGGGCUGAUGUCAGUGAUUUGUAAUCAACAAGCCCUCCUGGUAAUUCUGAUGCUUGCUGAAAUUUGAGAAGUGCCCUAGGUCUUCCCUCUCCCCAGAUGUAGGAACUUGAGAGUUUGGGGAUCUUAAAGAAGAGAAGACCUUGGUAUCUCAUUCCAAAUUGAUCAAGCUGACAUCAGAAAUAACUGAGUAAUCACUAAUUUGAUUGCAUUUACUUGAAGUGACUAAUUAAGUUGUCUGCUAUUAGAUGGAAUUGAGAAUUUAAGGCAGAAAUAAGUUUAGUUUGAGGAAAAUUAAGAUAUUUACACUGCAAUAAUACCUGAGUUUGUGUCUCAUAAAAUUGAAUCUUCUAGGUACACUUUGGAUGCACUUGGAAUUCUGUCCUGCAAUGAACCAAACAGAUGAAGUGAACAUACAGACCUCGGUGACCUUUUAUAGUGUCAGGUGGCCGUUCAUACACUUGACUGAAUUAAGACUCUUAUGUACAGCUGUAGGGUGGGCAGGUAAAGCAUUUGAAAUUGUAAGCUGUGGCAAAAUAUGACCCAUAUAACUUUUCCUUGGCCUUUGCACUGUGACCCUGCCCCCAGGCUUUAACUUCCCUCAUGUGAUUGUGCUUUGUGCUUCUCCUUCAGCAUGGCAUAUCUCAUUAUGGUCCUAACUAGGGUGACCCAGAGUGCCUGAGAUUUUUCCACUUUUGAAAUGGAGUGUCCCAUGUCCCAGGAACCUCCUAGUCCUGGGAAAAUUGAUAAUUGAUCGCUCUAAUCUUAACCCACCUAAUUUAGGACCUUGACUGGGCUUUUCCUUUGCUUCUUUCACUGGUGCAGAUUGAUCUCAUGUCUUGACAGGCUGGUGAUCCCAGUUUAUGCUGCUCUUGGGGAACUCUGGGGCCUCUGGCUACUGAGAAUCCCUGUGAAACACUUACUACUUCUAGUACUUAUAACAAAUAUUUGUAGAAGGCAUGCAUAGUAGUUAUUUUUAGCACUGUGUGAAGUAUUUCUUACUGAAUUGAAAAUAUCUAGUCACAAUUACUGACACAGCCAGAUUAUUAACUGCUUUAUAUUAAAGCUUGGAAACGUCUUCUUGGUAUUGAGUGACUUUAAUUAAGGAAAAUCACUAAGACUGGAAUAUUAAAGCUUGGCCUGGCACUGUGGUAUUGAUUACUUGGGUGACACCUGGAUGUUGGGCUUAAAGAAAAUUAAUCCUGCCACUUGUGGAAUAGAAUAUGUUCUUGUGCGGUUGUGAAGUGAGAGCACUGAACUGUAACCCCUAGAUCUCAAAGGCCAGCAGGCUUGACAUAGGUCCACAGUCCUCGUCCCUUUGGAGAAAACGUUUAGCAAAAAGACUGAGAAGAGAGAGAGAGGAGAGGCAGACAGACAGAGAGACCAAGAAACAGAAAGAGCCAGCUGCUUUGGGCGUGGUUUAAAUCACUUAUUUGGGGGCACUUCCUCUGGGUUUUUUCUGGCCAGUCAUCUUAUUUUGUCUGGCUUUGAGUCCAUAUUUCACCUGACUUGGGGCCCUCCCCUGUAUGUGAGCAUCCUUUUUUUUUUUUUUUUUUUAGGGCCACGCUUGCAGCAUAUGGAAGUUGCCAGGGUUAGGGAUUGAAUCAGAACUACACCACAGCCACAGCAACCCUGGAUCCAAGCUGCAGCUGUGACCUGCACCACAGCUCACAGUAAUGCCAGAUCCUUAACCCACUGAGUAAGUCAAGGAUCGAACCUGCGUCCUUAUGGAUACUAGUCGGGCUCAUUACUGCUGAGCUACAGUGGGAACUUCCUGUGUGAGCAUCUUUUAACCAAGAUGGAUUCUAGCACAAAGGUUUCUGACAAGUUGACAGGAUGUAUUAUGAUCUGGCACCCCCUCCGUUCUCUGACCCUUCAAGAACCUUUCUGUUUAUGUAUAGUUUGGAAGGUCUCCUUGACCUCAAGAAUGAGAAAUAUGUGGUCUCUUUAUCUUUUAUCCAAGCAGGACUUAGUUCCUUCUUGCUCCUGCCACAGUCUUUAUCUUGAAGUAUCUUCCCACAGGGGACAGAUUCCAGAUGUUCAGCCUGGGACCCAUCUAUUUCCUGCCUCAGAAUACAGAGGUUCUCAAACUUAGGUUUCUAAAGGGGAAAUGUGGUGGGGGAGAUAGGAAUUGGUAUAUACACACUACUACAUAUAGAAUAGAUGGGUAAUGGCAACCUACUGUAUAGCACAGGGAAAUGUACUCAAUACUGUGUAGUAACCUAUAUGGGAAAAGAGUCUGAAAAGGAAUGGAUAUGUGUCACCUCUGUGUGUGUGUGUGUGUGUGUGUGUGUGUGUGUGUGUGUGUGUAUUUGAUUUGUUUUGUGAUACACCUGAAAUUAGCACAACUUUGUAAGUCAACUAUAUUCCAAUAAUUUUUUUUAAAAAG
This 3782-nucleotide long non-coding RNA is filed under the name Sus scrofa (pig). RNAcentral's name for it is "lncRNA (ENSSSCG00000053246.1)". The record is from RNAcentral. Lineage: Eukaryota; Metazoa; Chordata; Mammalia; Artiodactyla; Suidae.